RNAcentral lists this ribosomal RNA (1301 nucleotides) under metagenome. Its description in RNAcentral is "bacterial LSU rRNA". It matches the Rfam family "Bacterial large subunit ribosomal RNA", at positions 1635 to 2925 of the family's 2925-position model. The record is from RNAcentral.
CACACGACCGUACCGCAAACCGACACUGGUGCGCGAGAUGAGUAUUCUAAGGCGCUUGAGAGAACUCAGGAGAAGGAACUCGGCAAAUUGACACCGUAACUUCGGAAGAAGGUGUGCCUUUAGUAGGUAAAGGGAUUUACUCCCGGAGCCCAAUGAGGUUGCAAAAAAUCGGUGGCUGCGACUGUUUAAUAAAAACACAGCACUCUGCAAACACGAAAGUGGACGUAUAGGGUGUGACGCCUGCCCGGUGCUGGAAGAUUAAAUGAUGGGGUGCAAGCUCUUGAUUGAAGUCCCAGUAAACGGCGGCCGUAACUAUAACGGUCCUAAGGUAGCGAAAUUCCUUGUCGGGUAAGUUCCGACCUGCACGAAUGGCGUAACGAUGGCCACACUGUCUCCUCCUGAGACUCAGCGAAGUUGAAAUGUUUGUGAUGAUGCAAUCUCCCCGCGGAAAGACGGAAAGACCCCAUGAACCUUUACUGUAGCUUUGUAUUGGACUUUGAACAGAUCUGUGUAGGAUAGGUGGGAGGCUUUGAAGCAGGGUCGCUAGAUCUUGUGGAGCCAACGUUGAAAUACCACCCUGGUGUGUUUGAGGUUCUAACCUAGGCCCGUUAUCCGGGCUGGGGACAGUGCAUGGUAGGCAGUUUGACUGGGGCGGUCUCCUCCCAAAGCGUAACGGAGGAGUUCGAAGGUACGCUAGUUACGGUCGGACAUCGUGACGAUAGUGCAAUGGCAUAAGCGUGCUUAACUGCGAGACUGACAAGUCGAGCAGAUGCGAAAGCAGGACAUAGUGAUCCGGUGGUUCUGUAUGGAAGGGCCAUCGCUCAACGGAUAAAAGGUACUCUGGGGAUAACAGGCUGAUACCGCCCAAGAGUUCAUAUCGACGGCGGUGUUUGGCACCUCGAUGUCGGCUCAUCUCAUCCUGGGGCUGUAGCCGGUCCCAAGGGUAUGGCUGUUCGCCAUUUAAAGAGGUACGUGAGCUGGGUUUAAAACGUCGUGAGACAGUUUGGUCCCUAUCUUCCGUGGGCGCUGCAGAUUUGAGGAAGCCUGCUCCUAGUACGAGAGGACCGGAGUGGACACACCUCUGGUGUAUCGGUUGUCACGCCAGUGGCAUUGCCGAGUAGCUAUGUGUGGAAGAGAUAACCGCUGAAAGCAUCUAAGCGGGAAACUCGUUUCAAGAUGAGAUCUGCCGGGGCCUUGAGCCCCCUAAAGAGUCGUUCAAGACCAGGACGUUGAUAGGUCAGGUGUGGAAGCGCAGUAAUGCGUUAAGCUAACUGAUACUAAUUGCUCGUGCGGCUUGACCA